GCCAAGAUGGUCGAGUGGUCUAAGACGUCAGACUUAAGAUCUGAUCCUCUAAGGAGGGCGUGGGUUCAAACCCCACUCUUGGCA
Dermatophagoides farinae (American house dust mite) is the source of this 84-nucleotide non-coding RNA. The record is from the annotation of a RefSeq genome assembly. Lineage: Eukaryota; Metazoa; Arthropoda; Arachnida; Sarcoptiformes; Pyroglyphidae.